Molecule: ribosomal RNA, 253 nt
Filed under: uncultured bacterium
Lineage: Bacteria
Description: partial 16S ribosomal RNA
Rfam family: Bacterial small subunit ribosomal RNA
Source: RNAcentral
UACAGGGGGUGCAAACGUUGCUCGGAAUCAUUGGGCGUAAAGCGCACGUAGGCGGUUCGUUAUGUCGGAUGUGAAAGCCCUUGGCUUAACCGAGGAAGUGCAUCCGAAACUGGCGAGCUAGAGUACGAAAGAGGAUCGCGGAAUUCCCGGUGUAGAGGUGAAAUUCGUAGAUAUCGGGAGGAACACCGGUGGCGAAGGCGGCUCACUGGCCCGUAACUGACGCUCAUGCACGACAGCGUGGGGAUCAAACAGG